Molecule: ribosomal RNA, 301 nt
Filed under: uncultured bacterium
Lineage: Bacteria
Description: partial 16S ribosomal RNA
Rfam family: Bacterial small subunit ribosomal RNA
Source: RNAcentral
CAGCCGCCGCGGGAAUACGAAGGGGGCUAGCGUUGCUCGGAAUUACUGGGCGUAAAGGGCGCGUAGGCGGACAGUUCAGUCGGGGGUGAAAGCCCGGGGCUCAACCUCGGAAUUGCCUUCGAUACUGGCUGUCUUGAGUAUGAGAGAGGUGUGUGGAACUCCGAGUGUAGAGGUGAAAUUCGUAGAUAUUCGGAAGAACACCAGUGGCGAAGGCGACACACUGGCUCAUUACUGACGCUGAGGCGCGAAAGCGUGGGGAGCAAACAGGAUUAGAUACCCCCGUAGUCCCUGUCUCUUAUAC